CUGCUCACUUCAGUAGCACAUAUACUAAAAUUGGAACGAUACAGAGAAGAUUAGCACGGCCCCUGAGCAAGGAUGACAUGCAAAUUUGUGAAGCGUUACAUAUUUUU
RNAcentral lists this small nuclear RNA (107 nucleotides) under Dasypus novemcinctus (nine-banded armadillo). Lineage: Eukaryota; Metazoa; Chordata; Mammalia; Cingulata; Dasypodidae. The record is from RNAcentral.